This 157-nucleotide ribosomal RNA is filed under the name Cryphonectria parasitica (chestnut blight fungus). RNAcentral describes it as "5.8S ribosomal RNA". It matches the Rfam family "5.8S ribosomal RNA". From Rfam's summary of the family: 5.8S ribosomal RNA (5.8S rRNA) is a component of the large subunit of the eukaryotic ribosome. It is transcribed by RNA polymerase I as part of the 45S precursor that also contains 18S and 28S rRNA. Functionally, it is thought that 5.8S rRNA may be involved in ribosome translocation. Lineage: Eukaryota; Fungi; Ascomycota; Sordariomycetes; Diaporthales; Cryphonectriaceae. The record is from RNAcentral.
AACUUUCAACAACGGAUCUCUUGGUUCUGGCAUCAAUGAAAAACGCAGCGAAAUGCGAUAAGUAAUGUGAAUUGCAAAAUUCAGUGAAUCAUCGAAUCUUUGAACGCACAUUGCGCCCGCUGGAAUUCCAGCGGGCAUGCCUGUUCGAGCGUCAUUU